Molecule: non-coding RNA, 69 nt
Organism: Rattus norvegicus (Norway rat)
Lineage: Eukaryota; Metazoa; Chordata; Mammalia; Rodentia; Muridae
Source: Rfam
GGGGAUUUAGCUCAGUGGUAGAGCGCUUGCCUAGCAAGCACCAGGCCCUGGGUUCGGUCCCCAGCUCCG